This 584-nucleotide long non-coding RNA is filed under the name Capsicum annuum. RNAcentral describes it as "long non-coding RNA (CANN_LNC004016)". Lineage: Eukaryota; Viridiplantae; Streptophyta; Magnoliopsida; Solanales; Solanaceae. The record is from RNAcentral.
GGGAAGGUUGCUAUGAAGAUUGUCCCCCUGGAUCAUGUUGUAACUGGGACGGUAUUUGCGGAAAUACAGAAGAUUAUUGUGGCAGAUCGUUCUGUCAAAAACAAUGUCCACCUCCACCCCCACUUGCACCUCCACCUCCAAACCCACCUGGACGAUGUGGAUGGCAAGCUUAUGGUACUAAGUGUCCUCCUGGAUUGUGUUGUAGUACAUCUGGUUGGUGUGGAUCCACUGAAAAAUAUUGCGCCAAAGGGCGUUGUCAAAGUCAGUGCAAAAGUACUCUUACCCCUCAUAAUAAUCCAAUAAUAGGUAAGCGAGAGUGUGGAUACCAAGGUUGCUACAAACUAUGUCCUCCUGGAUCGUGCUGUAGCUGGUUGGGUUGGUGCGGAACUACAGAAAAGUACUGCAGUCCAAAGAACUGUCAAAGCCAAUGUCCACCUAUACCCCCACCUCCACCUCCACCUCCAUACGCACCUGGACGAUGUGGAAGGCAAGCUGAUGGUAGAAAAUGUCCUCCUGGAUUGUGCUGUAGUGCAUCUGGUUGGUGCGGAACCACAAAAUUCUAUUGCGCCAAAGAGUGGUGUCAA